GAAAGUCUGAUGGAGCAACGCCGCGUGAGUGAAGAAGGGUUUCGGCUCGUAAAACUCUGUUGUUAAAGAAGAACAUAUCUGAGAGUAACUGUUCAGGUAUUGACGGUAUUUAACCAGAAAGCCACGGCUAACUACGUGCCAGCAGCCGCGGUAAUACGUAGGUGGCAAGCGUUGUCCGGAUUUAUUGGGCGUAAAGCGAGCGCAGGCGGUUUUUUAAGUCUGAUGUGAAAGCCUUCGGCUCAACCGAAGAAGUGCAUCGGAAACUGGGAAACUUGAGUGCAGAAGAGGACAGUGGAACUCCAUGUGUAGCGGUGAAAUGCGUAGAUAUAUGGAAGAACACCAGUGGCGAAGGCGGCUGUCUGGUCUGUAACUGACGCUGAGGCUCGAAAGUAUGGGUAGCAAACAGGAUUAGAUACCCUGGUAGUCCAUACCGUAAACGAUGAAUGCUAAGUGUUGGAGGGUUUCCGCCCUUCAGUGCUGCAGCUAACGCAUUAAGCAUUCCGCCUGGGGAGUACGGCCGCAAGGCUGAAACUCAAAGGAAUUGACGGGGGCCCGCACAAGCGGUGGAGCAUGUGGUUUAAUUCGAAGCUACGCGAAGAACCUUACCAGGUCUUGACAUACUAUGCAAAUCUAAGAGAUUAGACGUUCCCUUCGGGGACAUGGAUACAGGUGGUGCAUGGUUGUCGUCAGCUCGUGUCGUGAGAUGUUGGGUUAAGUCCCGCAACGAGCGCAACCCUUAUUAUCAGUUG
RNAcentral lists this ribosomal RNA (749 nucleotides) under Lactiplantibacillus pentosus. RNAcentral's name for it is "bacterial SSU rRNA". It matches the Rfam family "Bacterial small subunit ribosomal RNA", at positions 377 to 1117 of the family's 1533-position model. The record is from RNAcentral. Lineage: Bacteria; Bacillati; Bacillota; Bacilli; Lactobacillales; Lactobacillaceae.